GGAAACAGGUGCUAAUACCGUAUAACAACUGAAACCGCAUGGUUUCAGUUUGAAAGAUGGUUUCGGCUAUCACUUCUGGAUGGACCCGCGGCGUAUUAGCUAGUUGGUGGAGUAAUGGUUCACCAAGGCAAUGAUACGUAGCCGACCUGAGAGGGUAAUCGGCCACAUUGGGACUGAGACACGGCCCAAACUCCUACGGGAGGCAGCAGUAGGGAAUCUUCCACAAUGGACGAAAGUCUGAUGGAGCAACGCCGCGUGAGUGAAGAAGGGUUUCGGCUCGUAAAACUCUGUUGUUGAAGAAGAACACAUCUGAGAGUAACUGUUCAGGUGUUGACGGUAUUUAACCAGAAAGCCACGGCUAACUACGUGCCAGCAGCCGCGGUAAUACGUAGGUGGCAAGCGUUGUCCGGAUUUAUUGGGCGUAAAGCGAGCGCAGGCGGUUUCUUAAGUCUGAUGUGAAAGCCUUCGGCUUAACCGGAGAAGUGCAUCGGAAACUGGGAGACUUGAGUGCAGAAGAGGACAGUGGAACUCCAUGUGUAGCGGUGAAAUGCGUAGAUAUAUGGAAGAACACCAGUGGCGAAGGCGGCUGUCUGGUCUGUAACUGACGCUGAGGCUCGAAAGCAUGGGUAGCGAACAGGAUUAGAUACCCUGGUAGUCCAUGCCGUAAACGAUG
RNAcentral lists this ribosomal RNA (673 nucleotides) under uncultured bacterium. Its description in RNAcentral is "bacterial SSU rRNA". It matches the Rfam family "Bacterial small subunit ribosomal RNA", at positions 152 to 811 of the family's 1533-position model. The record is from RNAcentral.